UUUUUUUCUUUUAUUUUUUAUUUUCUUCUAUUAUGUUCAUUGUGGCUUAAAUUUUCAUUUCUCCAAGACAUUUGGAUGUGCUAUCGAACCAUGAUUCCCACUUAGGAAACUAAAACAGAAACAGAGAGUGGACUAGUAAAUGAUCUCUUUCCAUGGGUAGUCUCUAAGCGAAAUGAUGUGUUGAGCUCAUGAUUGCUGAAGCUGAACUUACACUUUUGCAUCAUCCUCUUUGGCUGUUGUUUCGAUCCAAAUCUUUGACCAUUGGAGCCAUUCACAAGUCCAUUUAUUUCUAGGGUCCCAUCCCAACUCCCAAACCACUGUUGGCGUGGUGUACCACGUACAUGUACAACAAAUAAGAACCAAACUAAAUCAAAGUGAAGAUCAAAGAAGCCAUGCCCACACUCCUCCCUCAUGUUCCCCUUGAAAUUAACAUCGUGAUACGAGAAUAUACUGUUAAUAAAACGGUUUAGAGUUGUUUUACCAUUCACCAAUGCAAAGAAGAAACAUGUCAG
RNAcentral lists this unclassified non-coding RNA (512 nucleotides) under Hevea brasiliensis (rubber tree). The record is from RNAcentral. Lineage: Eukaryota; Viridiplantae; Streptophyta; Magnoliopsida; Malpighiales; Euphorbiaceae.